CCUACGGGAGGCAGCAGUGGGGAAUAUUGCACAAUGGGGGAAACCCUGAUGCAGCGACGCCGCGUGAAGGAAGAAGUAUUUCGGUAUGUAAACUUCUAUCAGCAGGGAAGAAAAUGACGGUACCUGACUAAGAAGCCCCGGCUAACUACGUGCCAGCAGCCGCGGUAAUACGUAGGGGGAAAGCGUUAGCCGGAUUUACUGGGUGUAAAGGGAGCGGAGGCGGCGGUGCAAGUCAGAAGUGAAAGCCCGGGGCUCAACUCCGGGACGGCUUUGGAAACUGUAGAGCUAGAGUGCAGGAGAGGCAAGUGGAAUUCCUAGUGUAGCGGUGAAAUGCGUAGAUAUUAGGAGGAACACCAGUGGCGAAGGCGGCUUGCUGGACUGUAAAUGACGCUGAGGCUCGAAAGCGUGGGGAGCAAACAGGAUUAGAUACCCGAGUAGUC
Molecule: ribosomal RNA, 440 nt
Filed under: uncultured bacterium
Lineage: Bacteria
Description: partial 16S ribosomal RNA
Rfam family: Bacterial small subunit ribosomal RNA
Source: RNAcentral